AGAAUGAACGCUGGCGGCAUGGAUUAGGCAUGCAAGUCGAACGAAGAACGUCCUUCGGGACAAGUAUUAGUGGCGAAAUGGUGAGUAACGCGUGAGUAACUUGCCUCAAGGUUGGGGACAGCCCCGCGAAAGCGGGAUUAAUACCGAAUGUGGCGUUCUGCUAUGUGGCAGAAUUGCUAAAGGAGCAAUCCGCCUUGAGAUGGGCUCGCGUCCUAUUAGCUUGUUGGUGAGGUAAUGGCUCACCAAGGCUACGACAGGUAGGUGGUCUGAGAGGACGAUCACCCACACUGGGACUGAGACACUGCCCAGACUCCUACGGGAGGCUGCAGUCAAGAAUCUUCCGCAAUGCGCGAAAGCGUGACGGAGCGAUGCCGCGUGAGGGAUGAAGGCUUUCGGGUCGUAAACCUCUGUCACCCGGGAAGAAGAUCUGACGGUACCGGGAGAGGAAGCCACGGCUAACUACGUGCCAGCAGCCGCGGUAAUACGUAGGUGGCGAGCGUUAUUCGGAUUUAUUGGGCGUAAAGGGUUCGUAGGGGGUUUGUCAAGUCUGAUGUGAAAGCCCGCGGCUCAACCGCGGAAUUGCAUUGGAAACUGACAGGCUAGAGCAUAGGAGAGGUGAGUGGAAUUCCUGGUGUAGCGGUGGAAUGCGUAGAUAUCAGGAGGAACACCGAAGGCGAAGGCAGCUCACUGGACUAUUGCUGACCCUGAGGGACGAAAGCUAGGGGAGCGAACAGGAUUAGAUACCCUGGUAGUCCUAGCCGUAAACGUUGUACACUAGGUGUGGGGGGAGUUGACCCCCUCCGCGCCCAAGCUAACGCGAUAAGUGUACCGCCUGGGGAGUACGACGGCAACGUUA
Molecule: ribosomal RNA, 856 nt
Filed under: uncultured bacterium
Lineage: Bacteria
Description: bacterial SSU rRNA
Rfam family: Bacterial small subunit ribosomal RNA
Source: RNAcentral